Molecule: ribosomal RNA, 404 nt
Filed under: uncultured bacterium
Lineage: Bacteria
Description: bacterial SSU rRNA
Rfam family: Bacterial small subunit ribosomal RNA
Source: RNAcentral
GGGCCCGCACAAGCGGUGGAGCAUGUGGUUUAAUUCGACGCUACGCGCAGAACCUUACCUGGGUUAAAUCCUCCAGAAUUCGGACUAAAUGCCGAAGUGCCCUUCGGGGAAUUGGAGCGAAGGUGCUGCAUGGCUGUCGUCAGCUCGUGUCGUGAGAUGUUGGGUUAAGUCCCGCAACGAGCGCAACCCUUGCCGUCUGUUGCCAUCAUUAAGUUGGGAACUCAGACGGGACUGCCGGCCUAAACCGGAGGAAGGUGGGGAUGACGUCAAGUCCUCAUGGCCCUUAUGCCCAGGGCUACACACGUGCUACAAUGGUAGGUACAAAGUGCCGCGAACCCGCGAGGGUAAGCAAAACACAAAAAACCUGCCUCAGUUCGGAUUGGAGUCUGCAACUCGACUCCAUG